AUUUUCUUAAGGAAGUAGAGCUAAUUAAAUGACAUAAACAAAACCUGAAAGUGAUUCCAGUUUCACUCGAUGGCCAACCUGUUGAAACUGUGGUAAAUUUUAAAUUCCUUGUCAUUCCUGGACAGUCAGCUCAGUUUUGCUGAAAACACUGGCUAUAUCUUUAAGAACUAUUCUCAGAGACUCUGUCUUUUUAGACCCAGUGAUCUUUGGGUAGAGGUUGUUGAGUUAAAAUGUUAAAACUUUACGUUCUAACUAGAGUUUUAACUCAACUCAACUUUUAACUGUGGACUGUUUUAACUUUUCAUCUCCUUUGGUCACAUGAGCUGCAGACUAACAGACAAUAUUUUCAGAAAACUUUCAAUGGCAGGUAAAAUAGUAGGUAAUAGUUUGAGCUCAUGAAGGCCUUAUUGUUUUCCUCUGGUAACUAAGAACAUCGAUUAGAAGUCAUUUAUUGACAGAGCAAUAAUUAUUCUUAGCCAAACUAAAUGAUAACAUUUACCUGUAGCAUGCUAAGUGUUUUACUUGAUGCACAAAGUGUUGAUAUUGUGAUUCUAUGAAAGAGUUUUAUUUUAUCGUUUUAGAGUCAAAGAAAAAUUUCCACCUUGGAAGACUAAAUAGUUUAACCAGAUUUUUUCCUAAAUAUAAAACUCUACCAACAAAAAGUCUCAGAAUAAUAUACAUGGCACCGUAAAAAUAAAAAUGUAAAUUAUUGCUUG
Long non-coding RNA from Xiphophorus hellerii (green swordtail), 716 nucleotides. RefSeq lists it as uncharacterized. The transcript is spliced from 2 exons. The record is from RefSeq and is a predicted model, not a curated record. Lineage: Eukaryota; Metazoa; Chordata; Actinopteri; Cyprinodontiformes; Poeciliidae.